Molecule: ribosomal RNA, 254 nt
Filed under: uncultured bacterium
Lineage: Bacteria
Description: partial 16S ribosomal RNA
Rfam family: Bacterial small subunit ribosomal RNA
Source: RNAcentral
CACGUGGGGUGCGAGCGUUGUCCGGAAUUAUUGGGCGUAAAGAGCUCGUAGGCGGUGUGUCACGUCGGCCGUGAAAACCUGCAGCUUAACUGUGGGCGUGCGGUCGAUACGGGCAUCACUGGAGUUCGGCAGGGGAGACUGGAAUUCCUGGUGUAGCGGUGAAAUGCGCAGAUAUCAGGAGGAACACCGGUGGCGAAGGCGGGUCUCUGGGCCGAUACUGACGCUGAGGAGCGAAAGCGUGGGGAGCAAACAGG